Molecule: ribosomal RNA, 420 nt
Filed under: bacterium
Lineage: Bacteria
Description: partial 16S ribosomal RNA
Rfam family: Bacterial small subunit ribosomal RNA
Source: RNAcentral
UGGGGGAUAUUGCACAAUGGGCGAAAGCCUGAUGCAGCGACGCCGCGUGGGGGGUGAAGGCUUUCGGGUUGUAAACCUCUUUCGCUAUCGAACAAGGCCCGCUUAGGGUGGGUUGAGGGUAGGUGGAGAAGAAGCGCCGGCUAACUACGUGCCAGCAGCCGCGGUAAUACGUAGGGCGCGAGCGUUGUCCGGAAUUAUUGGGCGUAAAGGGCUUGUAGGCGGCUUGUUGCGCCUGCUGUGAAAACGCGGGGCUUAACUUCGCGCGUGCAGUGGGUACGGGCAGGCUUGAGUGUGGUAGGGGUGACUGGAAUUCCAGGUGUAGCGGUGGAAUGCGCAGAUAUCUGGAGGAACACCGAUGGCGAAGGCAGGUCACUGGGCCAUUACUGACGCUGAGGAGCGAAAGCAUGGGUAGCGAACAGG